AUCAGUAAGCGGUGGAAAAGAAACUAACCAGGAUUCUCUUAGUAACGGCGAGUGAACAGAGAACAGCCCAGUACCGAAGCCUAUUCACGCUUGUGAACAAGGCAAUGUGGUAUUGAGAUGUUUGCCUGGGGUUGUCGGUCUAUUCCAAGUCCAGCAUAGAUUAUGGCACUGGAUUUUGUCCGAAGCGGGUGAAAGACCCGUAGGGAUAGACUGUCAGGCAUGUUGACAACCCUCAGAUGCAUUCAUCGUGGAGUCGGAUAGCUUGAGAAUGCUGUCCAAAGUGGGUGGUAAACUCCAUCCAAGGCUAAAUAUUUGUACGAGUCCGAUAGCUAACAAGUACCGUGAGGGAAAGUUGAAAAGUACUCUGAAGAGAGAGUAAAUAGUACGUGAAGCCGCAUGUAGGGAAGCUGGUGGAGUCAAGCUGCAUGUCUCUAGAAUGAAGCCAGUGAUCAUUGUGUGUGUGGUUGAGGUGGUUGGCCAACUGGCUUGUAAGAAGUCAGACAGAUUUAUCUGCUUCCGGUGAGCACUGGUUAGUGCUUACGGAGUUGGUUAACUUGUUCCUCUUGUCACUGGCGUAUUUUCUUUAUGACAGACAUCACGAUCGACAAUGUUGUUGGCGUAUGGUAGUCAAACCAUCCGGUAUUGGGUUCUGAAUCCAUGCUUGGUGGGACGGCAGGUGGCUUGCUGGUUGACUUUGUUGGCCAGUGAGUUUUUUGUGGUUACGGCCAGCCGACUACUGUUUGUGAUGCUUUCAGCUAUACAACUUGUCGUUGCUCAAUGAAAGCUGGGCGCUUUCCCGUUGUCUUGUCGACUGCGCAGGUGUGUUUCCAUUUCGUAUGGUGCAUGCUUGUUGCUGGUUGGUGAGACGAGCGGCGAUUGCGUUCAGAUGUGAAUCGUGGUGUUGUGGUAGACGUUCCACCCGACCCGU
This 928-nucleotide ribosomal RNA is filed under the name Diplectaninae gen. sp. 2.1 MVT-2019. RNAcentral describes it as "partial large subunit ribosomal RNA". It matches the Rfam family "Eukaryotic large subunit ribosomal RNA", at positions 42 to 652 of the family's 3401-position model. The record is from RNAcentral. Lineage: Eukaryota; Metazoa; Platyhelminthes; Monogenea; Dactylogyridea; Diplectanidae.